CCCGAUGCCUGCCUCGUCC
This 19-nucleotide microRNA is filed under the name Monodelphis domestica (gray short-tailed opossum). RNAcentral describes it as "mdo-miR-12398-3p". The record is from miRBase by way of RNAcentral. Lineage: Eukaryota; Metazoa; Chordata; Mammalia; Didelphimorphia; Didelphidae.